Non-coding RNA from Podarcis lilfordi (Lilford's wall lizard), 30533 nucleotides. NCBI's taxonomy places the organism in Eukaryota, Metazoa, Chordata, Lepidosauria, Squamata, Lacertidae. The record is from the annotation of a GenBank genome assembly.
GUUUAGUCGUGUCCGACUCUUCGUGACCCCCUGGACCAGAGCACGCCAGGCACUCCUGUCUUCCACUGCCUCCUGCACUUUGGCCAAACUCAUGCUGGUAGCUUCGAGAUCACUGUCCAACCACCUCGUCCUCUGUCGUCCCCUUCUCCUUGUGCCCUCCAUCUUUCCCAACAUCAGGGUCUUUUCCAGGGAGUCUCCUCUUCUCAUGAGGUGGCCAAAGUACUGGAGCCUCAGCUUCAGGAUCUGUCCUUCCAGUGAGCACUCAGGGCUGAUUUCCUUCAGAAUGGAGAGGUUGGAUCUUCUUGCAGUCCAUGGGACUCUCAAGAGUCUCCUCCAGCACCAUAAUUCAAAAGCACCAAUAUAUAUAUAUAUAUAUAUGUGUGUGUGUGUGUGUGUGUGUGUGUGUCCCCAUAGACAGAUAUUUGCAGGUGGUGUAUUCUGGAAUAGGAGGGCAGCCUCUGAAGAAUGAAGAACAGCAGUUUGCAAAAAGGUGGGAAGACAGGAACAGAAGAAUGAGAACAUUGAUCACCUUCAUGUUCCAAAACUAGUUGCAGAAGCACCAGCUCUCCCAUGUCCUGAAGGAUACCAGUACAAAAACACCUGGAGUCCUGUGUCCAGUUCUAGGCACCAGUGCUUAAGAAGUGCAUUGGCAAGCUGGAACACAUGCAGAGGAGGGCGACCAAGAUGAUCAAGGAUCUGGAAACCAAACCUGAUGAGGAACAGUUGAUGGCAUUGGGAAAGUUUAUCUUGGACAAGAGGAGACUGAAAAGAGAUAUGAGAGCUGCCUUCAAAUACCUCAAGGUCUGCCACGUGGAAAAUGGAGCAACUCUGUUUUCUCCUGCUCCAGAGGCUGGGACCCAAACCAAUGGAUUCCAUUGACAAGAAAGGAGAUUACAACUGACCAUCAGGAAGAACUUUCUGGCCAUGGAAUGGACUUCCUCAGAAGGUGGUGGGCUCUCCUUCAUUGGAAGUUUUAAAGCAGAGGUUGUUUGGAUGGCUAUCUGUCUGUGAUGAUUGAGCUGUGAUUCCUUCAUUGCAGGGACUAGAUUACCCUUGAGGGUCUCCUUCAGCUAUUCUGUGAUUCUAUGAAUACUGAGCAGGCAGCGUAAAUAUAGCCCAUGCUGUAUUAUAAAUGUCCACAUGUGAUGUGAAAAGACUUUUAUGCUUCUUUAAUGCUCCAGUCCCUUGUCUACAGGACUUCAAAACUACUGUUUCGGGAGAUUAAAAUAAUGCAGGAACUCUGGUGCCUGUCAAGCUUUGCAAGAGGCUGCUGAGAUCUGUCAACUCUCAGCCUCCAGGCAGGAGAGGUUUUAUGAGCCUAUUAAUUGUGUUAAUUCUUUCAGAUUCCUUCAUCUUCCCCAACUGGAGCCUGGCCAGAUCUGGAAUGCAUUGCCUGCCCAAAUCCAGAACUGCUGGAAGUUGCAGAUUCUUCCCUGCGUGCUUUAUUCUACUUAUAGCUCACGAAUGCCAGAGUAAGCCUCUAUUGUCUUUCCGGUUAUAUAUAAAGUUAAAGCACAUCAGUUUGGAAUCGUAAGAUAAUUUGCAAUGCGCAUUUUAAAAGCCAUACCAUGUGCAUGAUUUAAACUGCAAAACGAUAAACCGUGACUGGCUGCAAUUUAACUCUGCACAGUAACUAUUUGUGGAGAAUUCUCUCUCUCUCUCUCUCUCUCUCUCUCUCUCUCUCUCUCACACACACACACACACACACACACCUUUUGUGUUUUAUCAUUACUUAACCACAAACACAGGGACAAGGGUGGCGCUGUGGGUUAAACCACAGAGCCUAGGACUUGCCGAUCAGAAGGUCAGCGGUUCGAAUCCCCGCGACGGGGUGAGCUCCCGUUUCUCUGUCCCUGCUCCUGCCAACCUAGCAGUUUGAAAGCACAUCAAAGUGCAGGUAGAUGAAUAGGCACUGCUCCUGCGGGAAGGUAAACAGCGUUUCCGUGCGCUGCUCUGGUUCGCCAGAAGCGGCUUAGUCAUGCUGGCCACAUGACCCGGAAGCUGUACGCCGGCUCCCUCGGCCAGUAAAGCGAGAUGAGUGCCGCAACCCCAGAAUCGGCCACGAAUGGACCUAAUGGUCAGGGGUCCCUUUACCUUUACCUUACUCCAUCAUCAUCAUCAUUAUUAUUACCCCAUCCCUCUGACUGGGUUGCCCCAGCCACUGGACGGAUUCCAACAUAUAUAAAAACAAAGUAAAACAUUGAACAUUGAAAAAUUGCCCACAUUCUAUGGCACCGGAGUAGAGCCCUUCCCCAACUGGCUGCACUCUGGAAGACAUGUGGGAUGUGAUACAUAAGUAGCAGUCAAAUACAACAUUCCUUGUUUUCCUAGAGUGGACAUGCAAGGGGGUGUUUGGACCAGCCAGUUGAAAACUUCCUGUUUCCUCCUGGCUGGGACAUACUUCCUUUGCGUGUCACUAGAGAUGGACGUGACCUUACCUGUCCAGGUAACAAAAAGGACAAGGCAUGCAGCACUCUCUCUUUUUGACUUCUUCCAUCGUUGGAGCAGCUUUUAGCUAGAGAUGCUUCCAGCCAACAGAGGACACUGGGAUUAUUCCCAUAUGGGAUAGCUCCACAUGUAUAUACUUCAGGGAUCCAACUGUGAACUGAUGAUGUGAGUAAACUUCUUUUGUAUACUUUAAACAAGAUUGUGGCAUGUUUAUUCUUUUAGGAGGGAUAUAAGGGGACUUACCAGGAACCAAAAAGUAAGAGGCUUAAAGAAGCCUGCAACCACCUACCUGCUGUGUGUUUAAAAGGGGAAUGUAAAACUCUGCUAAGUAAAGGGACAUGCUAGCGCAAGUUAGGAAGGAUAUUAAUAAACAAUCUAUCCUCUCCUACCUCCCUGAACAUUCCCACAAAACAAUCCCCACAAAACAUCCUGGACAAUGGUCAAGGAUGUUGGCAACUGCCAUAAGAAUGUAAGAGAAGUCUGCUGGAUCAGGCCAGUGGUCCACCUACUCCACCUUCUGAUCGGCAAGCCAUAGGCUCUGUGGUUUAACCCACAGCACCACCCGCGUCCCAUUAAUAACAGAAUAGGAUGUCCCUAUUUUCAUCAUGGUGCUGGAGGAGACUCUGGAGAGUCCCAUGGACUGCAAGAAGAUCAAACCUCUCCAUUCUGGAGGAAAUCAGCCCUGAGUGCUCACUGGAAGGACAGAUCCUGAAGCUGAGGCUCCAAUACUUGGGCCACCUCAGGAGAAGAGAAGACUCCCUGGGAAAGACCCUGAUGUUGGGAAAGAUGGAGGGCACAAGGAGAAGGGGACGACAGAGGACGAGAUGGUGGGACAGUGUUCUCGAAGCUACCAGCAUGAGUUUGACCAAACUGCGGGAGGCAGUGGAAGACAGGAGUGCCUGGCGUGCUCUGGUCCAGGGGGUCACGAAGAGUCGGACACGACUAAACGACAACAUUUUCAUCAGAAAAAUGUUGGAGUAUAUUGAAGUGGCUAAUGUGCGGAGACUGGUGGCCUGGUAGUCUUGUCACUUCUGAAGGGCACCACGUUGCCUAUGCUUUCUUUAAGUCCUUGGCCAAUGCUCUUGUGCUACAGAUGCCCAUCGAGGUGCUAAUUAGCGCAAUUAUGUAUGAGUGAUCCACACUGCAGGCAGCUUCUCUGCACGGCGCCAAGCAACUGCCACCCAUCUGCGUUGUUCUGCAUCCAUCAUCUGCCGGCCCAGGGCUCCCUUCUCCCCCCUUGUUUUGCCAGCGACUUGUCAGAUGUGGAAGGCAGGCAGUGACCUGAAAGCGAAGAGUCCUCCUUGCAGUAGCAGCCCCUGGAGCUUUUCCUUCACCUCUUUCCCAAGGCCGCUUUGCUUUAUGAUCUCUGCUUUAAAGUCUGCAAAGGCUGUCUAUGGGGCUAACCUUUGUGAUCUGCUCAAUCAGGCUAUUGACUUUAAAGAGGCUUUUGAUCAGCUCUGGGGCAAUGAGACACCAAUCGGACUGGAUUAUUUUUGUCUGCGGUGCUGCUCUGGAGAACGGAAGGGGAAAAAGCCCUUCUGCUUUGCAGUUUCCAUUUGUUUCUCAACACACACAAAACCCCUACAGUGUCUGUAACCUGCAGUUCUUAUGCCAGCUUUGAUUUCUCAGGUCCCAAAGUAGGAUUUUUAUUUUUUAUUUUUUUAGCCAAAGAAUUGCCAGAGUCUAUUGGCAGUUUUUCUCCCCUAGAAUGAAUGCCCUCCAGUUCACCUUGUGAUUCUUCCACUGUCCUCUUUGGUUAAUCUCCAAAACUCUUUCCCCAUUUUCAGGCUUCUAACAGGACCUGAAAGUUCCUGAUAGAAAAGUUUCACCUUAUAUUUGGGAAGAGACAGGGGCAGGCUCCUGGUGCCCUGCAGCUGAAACCUUCAAAUACAUAGAAGCAUAGAACCACAGAAUUGCAGAGUCAGGAGGGACCCCAAGGUCAUCUAGCCCACCCCCUAAGGUGCAGGAAUCACAGCUAAAUAACUGCCUCCAAACAUUGAUUCAGGAUUCCCACAGCCUCCAUAGGAUUAGCAGGAUUAGUAGAUGGAGAGGAGAGGUAAGGCAGAGAGUCAUCUGCAUACUGAUGCAAGCUCAGCCCAAUGGAGCUUCCAUGUGACUUCUUGUGCUUUCAUGUAAACGUUAAAAAAUAUUGUGUGCAAUAUAACUGAGACCCCCAUGGCCAUGGCAGAGGGGAUGCAAUAAUAGCCACAGCAACACCUUUCCUCUGAUUCACACUCUAGAAAAUAAUAAUAAUAAUAAUAAUAAUAAUAAUAAUAAUAAUAAUAAUAAUUUAUAUCCCGCCCAUCUGGCUGGGUUUCCCCAGCCACUCUGGUUGGCUUCCAACAAAAUAUUAAAAUACAAUAACCUAUUAAACAUUAAAAGCUUCCCUAGAUAGGGCUGCCUUCAGAUGUCUUCUAAAAGUCUGGUAGUUGUUUUUCUCUUUGACAUCUGGUGGGAGGGCGUUCCACAGGGCGGGUGCCACUACCAAGAAGGCCCUCUGCCUGCUUCCCUGUAACUUGGCUUCUCGCAGCAAGGGAACCGCUAGAAGGCCCUCGGCGCUGGACCUCAGUGUCUGGGUAGAAUGAUGGGGGUGGAGACGCUCCUUCAGAUAUACUGGACUGAGGCCUUUUAGAGAAGCAGUCUAGACAGACGCCUUGGCUGAUGAAAUGAAAAGUCAUGGGAAGAUCCAGGAGGGUCAAAAGCGGACCUUCACCUCCAUUCGCUUAAGCUGUUGGCCAUCCAUGCCAAAAUGGUGCAGCCCAUAACAACCUGCGCAGAGCUGGUCUGAGAGGCCUGGUUUGGGAGUCUUGUUCUUGGCAUGACAGUGUAAGUUGGGCAGAACCGUGGCAGCCCCUCUCCUCAGGACAUGUGGACCUGGCUGGCCCGCACUCUGCAUGGGACUGACCCCAGGUUUUGUGGGCUACAAUUGCAGUCUUCUCAGGGGCUGCUCCCAGACUCUGGAACUCCCUUCUUAGAGAAGCGAGACCGACUCCCUACUGGUCCUUCUGCUGGCAAGUGAAGACUGGCUUAUUCAGAAGGCUUUUCGGAACCAAUUGUUUUUAAGGAAAGGGCUGGUGCGAUGCUGUUUUUGCGUCUGGUGCAACAGAACACAGUGACAGAAGUCAGAGCACAUGGAAAUGCCUUUUACCUUCCCACCGGAGCAAUAGCUAUUUAUCUACUUGCACUGGUGUGCUUUCAAACUGCUAGGUUUGGGGGAUGUGAUAUAUAAGUAGCAGUCAAAUACAACAUUGUUUUCCUAGAGUGGACAUGCAAGGGGAUGUUUGGUCCAGUCAGUUGGAACUCCCUGUUUCCUCCUGGGCUGGGACAUAUUCCCUUUGCCUGUGACUAGAGGUGGGCGUGACCUUACCUGUGCAGGUAACAAAAGCACAAGGCACACAGCACUCUCUCUCUCUUCCUCCAUCAUAGGAGUAACAGCUUUUUAGCUAGAGAUGCUCUGUAUAUAUUUUGUAACUAAGUCUGCCUUCAGAGAUCCAACUGUGAACUGAUGAACUGAUGUGAGUAAACUUCUUUUACUGACUUUAAAUAAGAUGGUUGUGUGUUUAUUCUUUUGAGAGGGAUAAAAGGGGACUCAUGAGGAACAUACAAUUCAAUACUGAAUUGUAUGAUAGUGAGAGGCUUAAACAAGCCUGCAACCAGCUAGCCGCUGUGCGUUAAAAAGGGAAUGCACUCUGCUAAACAAAAGGGACUUGCUAGCGCAAGUUGGGAAGGAUAUUAAUAAACAAUAUAUCCUCUCCUGCCACCCUGAACAUUCCCACAAGGUUGGCAGGAGUUGGGACAGAGCAAUGGGGACUCACUCUGUUGUGGGGAUAUGAACCGUCGGCCUUCUGAUCAGCAAGUCCAAGAGGCUCAGUGGUUUAGACCACAGCGUCACCCGCGUCCCCUUUGAUAUAGAUAGUUUCAAUUCUAUCAAUGUUUGCUUUUUAAUGUUUGUUUUUGCUAUCUUUGUAGUGUGGGAGUCCAUUGCAGUGCCUGGAGACAGUUGGGCUGUGCAGUGACCAGAGGAGGAAUGACCGCUGGGAGGAGGACUCAGAGAAGAAAUGCAACGGUGCACCUGCAGCAGCACAACUGGAAGCCUUCAUCUGCCCCAGCUGCAACAAAACAUGUCUCUCCCAUAUCAUUCUCGACAGCCACUGCAGGUGCUAUAACCUUCCGACAAUUUGGUUUCACCCCCAAAGACGCUCUCCUCCAUUUUGUCUUGAAACAGAAGGAUGCCAUUAAAAACAAUACAAAUUGAAUGCAAACCCAAUGCAUGUCUCUGAGUCUCACAGGAGGGAAAUACAAGUAUUGGGUGAUGUGCAAAUCCAUUGCUCAUGCAAUUUUCUCGAUGGAUGUUCAGCUUCACCAAAGAUUCCACCUCUGCUACAGACAUAGAAACUUGAGGUUCACUUUUAAUGAGUUUCAACAGAAUUGCACGCUGAAAACUUGUGACUGAACCAUGUACCAUCUUGGCUUAUAACCAAAUCUUUCUUAGCCGCUGAAGGAGUGGCAAUCAUACUUGGAUUCCGAGGCACCUUCCCCAAGGGAAGGGAUGGCUAAAAAUAUCCUAAAAGCUUCUCCCACCCCCUUCCUAGCAGGCGUUCUAAUUCUCAGGAGCCAAAGUUAAUUCAGUCAGCGAUUUUCCAGUCCCGCCAGCAAGGAUGUGUGGCUUGUUUGAACUCCUCAGGCAAUUUGUUGAAGUGCCGUUUGAUGGAAGUUUUUUUUCAAGAUACACUCAACAAGUGUUUUAAAUCUCAGAGUUCAAGGAGCUUCUCAUGACUGCCCAUUAAGUGCAGAUUGGCACAAAGAAAAAAAUAGAAAUUAUGUCAGCUCAGUCCUAAUAUAUGGAUUGAGAAGUAUAAGGUAGUGAGGAUUACCAAGCAAGGUCCCUGAUUUGUUUUGUUUUUGCUUUUAAAUUCCAUAUUUUAAAUGGUGCAAUUUGUGUGUUUGGACCCAUCACGCCAAAAAUUGAGUGAAGUCAAUUCAAAGUCAUGUUUAGGUCUGCUAUCUUGAAUCAAAUGACAUCUGGCACCCAAACAUUGACAAAGACUGUCACCCACACCUCGGGAAGAUUUGGGCUUAGUUUGGUGACAAUAUUGGAACCACAAUUUUGGAAAGAAGUUGACAAGCUGGCAGGUGUGCAGAGGAGGGCAACCAAGAUGAUCAAGGGUCUGGAAACCAAACCUUAUGAGGAACGAUUGAAGGAUCUGGGUACAUUUAGCCUGAAAAAGAGGAGACUCAGAGGAGAACAGCCAUUACCAAAGGUGUCAUGGGUUUUGAAGAUGCUCAAACUCAGGACGCAAAGGAGAAACAUGCAAAGAGGAAGGCACGCUUGGCAAAUCCUCACUGUCAUCAACUCCUGCCCGGAAACCAGUGUCCCCACUAUGGAAGGACGUGUGGAUCCAGAAUUGGCCUCCACAGUCACUUAUGGACUCAUUGUUAAAACCGUGUUUAUGGAAGACAAUCUUUCCGCAGGGCCUGCAAGACAGAGCUGUUCCACCAGGCCUUUGGUCAGGGCACAGCCUGACUCCCUCCUUUGGCAAUCUUCACAGAAUCUCUAGCCUAAUGGUUGCCAUCAAUUUGAUUUGAAUUAAUUUUAUAAAUGAUUUUAGAAUGUUGUACUAUUUUAUUGUUGUUAGCCGUCCUGAGCCCGGCUUCGGCAGGGGAGGGCGGGAUAUAUAUAUAUUUAUUAUUAUUAUUAUUAUUAUUAUUAGUAUCAUUAUUAUUAUUAUUAUUAUUACUCAGCUACGAGUGAUUGCCAAAGAAGAAGGAGGAGGAGGAGAAGAAUGAUAGUCAUCUUCAAAUAUCUCAAGGGUUUUCACAUGGAAGAGGGAGGAAGCCUGUUUUCUCCUGAUCUGGAGGACUUGAACCAAUGGCUUCAAGUUACAAGAAAGGAGUUUCUGACUGAACAUUGGAAAGUAAGAGCUAUUUGACAGUGGAACAGACUCCCUUGGGGGGGGGUGGAUUCUCCUUCCGUGGAGGUUUUUAAGCAGAAGUUGGAUGGCCAUCCGUCAUGGAUGCUUUAACUGAGAUUCCUGCUUUGCAGGGGGUUGAACUAGAUGACCUUUGGGUCCCUUCCAACUCUACAAUUCUGUGAUUCUAUGAUUCUAUCUCAAGAGGCCUCCGAAUGCAUACUAGACAAACAGACAAAUGGACAAACCAUUUUAGGACAAGCUGAGAGGCAGAGACUGACAGCUCUUCAGAUAUUUCAAGAUCUCCAGGUGGGGGGAAAUCAGCGACUUCCCAUCCGCCAAUGCACCCUCUUGCAGUUCUUUCCCGGUGCUGCAAUUUGUCUGCUGUGCUUAGUUUAUUCAUUUACUUUGCAUUUACUGCUCUUCUCCACAUUUACUUUGCGUUUAAUGCUUUGCUCAUAACUCUGGAACGCAGCACAGUUUAUGUCAACUUUGUACUUUGUUUUGCAACCUCAUUGUAAUCUCAUUUUAUGCCAUUUCGGCUUUACUGCUUCAGUAUUUUCUGCAUCUCGAGCCUGCCUCUUAAAUUAUUUAGCAUUGCUUUUUGAAUGCUUUUAAUUCAUGUGAUCUCAAUUAGCCUCCUUUCCGCUUAGAUUCGUAUCAACGGCACAACCUCCGACAUCUCACACGCUGCGGAAACCGUGACAUUACUAAGGACUUGGAAUUGCCACCCCAAGGGUCCCUGGGACAGGGAUGGGGGGGGGAGGCUGGAGAGUGGCCCCUACAGCAUUUUGAUAUGAAACUUGUUGUUGUUGUUUAGUCGUGUCCGCCUCUUCGUGACCCCCUGGACCAGAGCACGCCAGGCACUCCUGUCUUCCACUGCCUCCCGCAGUUUGGUCAAACUCAUGCUGGUACCUUCAACAACACUAUCCAACCAUCUCGUCCUCUGUCCUCCCCUCCUCCUUGUGCCCUCCAUCUUUCCCAGCAUCAGGGUCUUUCCCAGGGAGUCUUCUCUUCUCAUGAGGUGGCCCAAGUAUUGGAGCCUCAGCUUCAGGAUCUGUCCUUCCAGUGAGCACUCAGUGUACUGGUCCCAUGGGUUACCCGAGAGGCGAGGUCCAAGUCCGGUCCAUGGUCAAAGGUGCAAUGUGGAGGCAGUCCGUAGUAGCUGAAGCUGGGCGCAGGGCAGGGAGUCGGGUGAAGUCAGGAACAGGCAUGCAAGCAGGGAGCCAGGGCGGGUCAAGAGCUCUGGCAGAAAAGCAGGACAGGGUUCAGACAGGAACUAGCAACCAACAAUAUUGCUCCCACAACUUGGGACUGGGGCUGGCUGGCUUUUAUCUCCCCCAAGGCAUAGGGCGGCCCCGAUCCUCUGGUGACUCACCUCUCCUGGCCUGGAGGCGAGCUCUCCUCCUGUAGGAACUUAGUUCCCUCUGCCUCUCUGCCCUGAGCCUCUGCAGCUCAGGAGAGGCUGGAGGGCUAUCAGACCCAGAGGCAACCUCAGCCUCCCCUGACAGGGCUGAGAGUGGAGCACCUGCAGGCAAUGGGUCCUACAUCACCUCAGGAGCCAGAGCAGACUCAGCUGGUGCCUGCACCAGAGGAUCCAGCACAGGUGAGGACCCUUCAGGCUCAAGCCUCAGCCCCGGCUCAGCCGGUUCUGGAGGCAGGGAAUCCUGUGCAGGCUGGGACCCCUAAGAUUCAGCAUCCGAGUCCAAAUCCCAGGCCAUCACGCUCCGGGCUGAUUUCCUUCAGAAUAGAUAGGUUUGGUCUUCUUGCAGUUCAUGGGACUCUCAAGAGUCUCCUCCAGCACCACAAUUUAAAAGCAUCAGUUCUUUGGCGAUCAGCCUUCUUUAUGGUCCAGCUCUCACUUCCAUACAUCACUAUGAAACUAUGAAAUAUCAAACUACCUAUUUCAUAGGAAAGGUCCUGCUGGAUCAGGUCGGUAGCCCACCCAACACCUUGUUCUCACCAUGGCCAACCAGGUGCCUGUGAGAAACCAGCGUGCAGAAGCUCAGCACAAUAAUAUCCUCCCCUCUUGCAGUUUCCAGCAACUGGGAUUCAGGAGCAUCACUGUCUCUGUGGAGGCAGAGCAUAGCCAACAUGGCUAGUAGCCACUGAAAGCCCUCUGCUCCUUGAACUUGUCUAUUCCUCUUCAGGUCCAGUAUACCCGAAGGAGUGUCUCCACCUCCAUCGUUCUGCCCGGACACUGAGAUCCAGCACUGAGGGCCUUCUGGCGGUUCCCUCACUGCGAGAAGCCAAGUUACAGGGAAGCAGGCAGAGGGCCUUCUCGGUAGUAGCGCCCGCCCUGUGGAACACCCUCCCACCAGAUGUCAAAGAGAAAAAUAACUACCAAACUUUUAGAAGACAUCUGAAGGCAGCCCUGUUUAGGGAAGCUUUUAAUGUUUAAUAAAGGUAAAGGUAAAGGUACCCCUGCCCGUACGGGCCAGUCGUGUCCGACUCAAGGGUUGUGCGCCCAUCUCACUUAAGAGGCCGGGGGCCAGCGCUGUCCGGAGACACGUCCGGGUCACGUGGCCAGCGUGACGAAGCUGCUCUGGUGAGCCAGCACCAGCGCAGCACACAGAAACGCCGUUUACCUUCCCGCUAUAAAGCGGUACCUAUUUAUCUACUUGCACUUAGGGGUGUUUUCGAACUGCUAGGUGGGCAGGAGCUGGGACCGAAAGACAGGAGCUCACCCCGCCGCGGGGAUUCGAACCGCUGACCAUACGAUCGGCAAGUCCUAGGCACUUAUGUUUUACCCACAGCGCCACCCGCAUCCCUUAAUGUUUAAUAGGUUAUUGUAUUUUAGUGUUUUAUUGGAAGCUGCCCAGAGUGGCUGGGGAAACCCAGCCAGAUGGGCAGGGUAUAAAUAAUAAACUAUUAUUAUUAUUAUUAUUAUUAUUAAAGCCAUCCAGUUUGGAGGACGUCACAGCCUCCAGUGGGAGGGAGUUCCAUUUGGACGUCCGUGAAAAAAAGCUUUCUUCUGUCUUCCAAAAUUUAGCUUCAUUAGAUAUUCAUGCGUUCCAAGGAAAAAUAAGGGACUUUUUACCAUAUGUGGUGGGAUUGCAGAGAAAUUAAUUUUUUUUUUUUGGAAAUGAUAUAUAAUGAGUUGAAAAAUUAAAUUAACAUUUGUAAAAAAGCCAGAAGCAUUUUUGUUAGGGAUUGUAGGAUAAGACCUGCCAAGGGAAAUGAAUAACAUAUUUAUGUACGCGACAACGGCGGCAAGAGUCUUAAUAGCACAAGGAUGGAAGAAUGAAGAAACCCCAACUAAAGAACAGUGGGAAGAGAAACUGAUGGAUUACGCGGAACUGGCAAAAUUGACGCACAAACUACGUGAUUAGGACAACUGUGACUUCAAAGAAGAAUGGGAACCUUUUACAAAGUAUUUAAAGAAACAACAAAAUGAAUUGGACUCAUUGGCAGGUUUUGAAUAAACAUACAGAAAUUUAUUUGUUAAUAUAAUAGAGGGAUAAUUUAGGGAUUUUUACAUUUUUUAUAACAUUCAGAGAACAUAUGUGUUAAAAAACCCCAGAAAGGAACUGAGGGAAGUCGUAGGGAGGAGGGAGGGGGGGUAUGUGGGGGAGAUGGGAGAGGAAAAAUGGGGGGGGGGGAUACAAUAAAGAUGAUUUGUUGGAAUAAUUUGUUAUGCGAAAAUAGUGAAGAAGAAGAAGAAGAAGAAGAAGAAGAAGAAGAAGAAGAAGAUAUCCAUGCGUUCCAGUGUUACAAGAGAGGGAGGAAAACGUUCUCCGCUUUCUCCAUGCCGCACAUAAUUUCAUAAACUUCCAUCAAGCCACCUCUUCAAAGAAUCCUGGGAUUGUAGAGUCGGAAGGGACCCUAAGGAUCAUCUAGUCCAGGCACCCCCAAACUUGGCCUUCCAGCUGUUUUGGGAUUACAACUCCCAUCAUCCCUAGUUUACAGGACCAGUGGUCAGGGAUGAUGGGAUUUGUAGUCCCAAAACAGCUGGAGGGCCGAGUUUGGGGAUGCCUGAUUUCUAAUCCAACCCCCUGCAACGCAGGAAUCAAAAUGAAAGCAUCCAUGACAGAUGUUUUAGUUUGCUCAGCACUCGGUGAUCUACAACUGCAUGUAGAGAAACGAAAAGCAUUUCUCUUGGAUGCAAAGCAGAGGUUCUGUCUCUGCUGUUUGAAGUGCAAUGGUCUUUUGAUCCUUGUAAAUCACAACUUGAUCCUGCAGUCACCAAGCAACCAAGAUGCUUGUACAGACCGAUCCAAUCUUUGCAUCAUUAUUUUUAAUUUUUGCUUCCCACCCCCCACUACGCUACGUCUUUGGAAAGUUCUGAACUGAGCAUGAUCGCUGCUCACCUUGAACCCGCUGAGAAUAGGAUGGGCCAUAAAUCAAAAUCAAAAGCCGAAAGGGAACUUGGAACUUCCUCCGUAGGAAACGGGAGCCUUCUUGCUACAAGCUGCCCUGGAAUAUCUAAUGAGUUGACUCCAACGUCAUUAAAAUUCUCUCCACAAAAAAGUUUGCAGGGUAUUAAUUCCAUUUCCUCCCCUCCCCCCCCCGUGACAUGUAUCGCUUUGCGAUAAACAAUUCUCAAACGAUUUGAGAAAUAUUUUCGUUUAUGCCCAACAGAGAAGCAUCCUUUUGCCUUUCAUCCUGGAACAGAUUUGUCUUCAAGCCUUCUAAGCAAGAUCGAAUCAAUACUUUCUGCUGGGUAUCAAUACACCUCCUUCUUCAGCCCACGGUAUAAUACAGUCCCCUUGCUCUAGGGCUGGCAGCUAUGGACAGGAGGUUUGCCUGCCGGAAAAUAAAUCACAUUACGUGUGGUUCCCCCCCCCCAUCCAUGCACAUGCCAUUAAAGAUUAUGUGCGGCCGUUGUAAAAGGACCAAAUUCUCCUCUAGAAUUGCCUCUUUGAUCUACAUUUAGUAAUCUUCCUAUUUGGGCCACGCUCUGAUUGGCAAACCAUGUUUGUCGGAUGGAUUUUGUCCUUGGAGUUAUUUCUGUUUCAUUAUUUUCAACGUUGGAAACGACGCCGUGAUGUCAAUUUGCAAAAGUGAGAUGAAAAUGUUUAAUAAAGAUGCUUCUCGUGGCUCUGGCGUUGGAAGGAAGGAGAUAACUUCAGAAAGGAAGACUGGGGUUUGCGCGAGAUAUGAUCCAUGAGGAAAUAGAGGCCUUAAAUUUACAGAAUUAGACUUGCCAGAUUAAUGCUGCUUUUCAGCCAAUUAAUGAUGUCCUAUUUUAAGUCUUAAAAUGACAUUUUUUUCUACAUAUAGAAACUGAGUGGAACUGACUUUGAAACCCACGGCUAACAACAUUUCCAAAAUCCAGGGACAGGAGGCUGUCCUUUCCUUGGAGGAGUCUCUGGAAGGCAUGGCUUGACCAAACAAGGUUGUUUGAGGAAUAAUAAUAAUAAUAAUAAUAAUUCAUUAUUUAUACCCCGCCCAUCUGGCUGAGUUUUCCCAGCCACUCUGGGUGGCUCCCAAUCGAGUGUUAAAAACAAUACAGCAUUAAAUAUUAAAAACUUCCCUAAACAGGGCUUCCCUUCAGAUGUCUUUUAAAGAUAAGAUAGCUGCUUAUUUCCUUCACAUCUGGUGGUAGGGCGUUCCACAGAGUGGGUGCCACCACCGAGAAGGCCCUCUGCCUGGUUCCCUGUAACCUCACUUCUCGCAAUGAAGGAACUGUCAGAAGGCCCUCGGCGCUGGACCUCACUGUCUGGGCUGAAUGAUGGGGGUGGAGAUGCUCCUUCAGGUAUACUGGACUGAGGCCAUUUAGGGCUUUCAAGGUCACCAACACUUUGAAUUGUGCUCGGAAACGUACUGGGAGCUAAUGCAGAUCUCUCAGGACCGGUGUUAUGUGGUCCCGGCGGCCGCUCCCAGUCGCCAGUCUAGCUGCCGCAUUCUGGAUUAGUUGUAGUUUUGGGGUCACCUUCAAAGGUAGCCCCACAUAGAGUGCAUGGCAGUAGUCCAAGCGGGAGAUAACCAGAGCAUGCACCACUCUGGCGAGACAGUCUGCGGGCAGAGAGGGUCUUAUCCUGUGUACAUGAUGGAGCUGGUAGACAGCCGACCUGGACACAGAAUUGACCUGUGGCUCCAUGGACAGCUGUGAGUCCAAAAUGACUCUCAGGCUGCGCACCUGGUCCUUCUGGGGCACAGUUAUCCCAUUCAGGAUCCCGCUCGUUGUCUUGGCUUGUGCCAUAGCCGCGUGCAACCCCUCUGGCAGGGAGAGGUUGUGCGUGGCCUGUAUGCUGCUCUUUGGGGCUGGGGGGGGGAAUAAGAUUUUUCCCCCUUGAUUUCCCCCUCUAAAAACUAGGUGCGCCCUAUGGUCCGGUGCACCUUAUGGAGCGAAAAAUACGGUAUGUACCCCUUUAUAUUCACAGUCUGGCACAGUUAUAUCCACAGCUAUGGUAGGGGAGAGCGUGUGAUGCACAAAGAUGCUGUUUUAUUUCAGGGACCACUGGUGGGUUGCCACGCACAACUGGGCACCCUGCCAAGUAUCCCUCUGCCCCAGAGAACUUGGAGGUGGCAUUUAGAAGAGAGACUCUGAGCUGAUCUGCAUAGUUCUUCCUCUGCAGAGCCAAAUCUAGAGCUCGGAUUCAUAGACCCUCUCUACAAAACACCCAACUUUUCAAGAACAUCUACAGCUUUGAGCGAUUAGAGGUAUGUUGGUUGCCUUCCAAAACAGAGCGCAAAGGCUUGCCUGUUCAGAAUGAUAGAAGGAAACAUUGCCAUCAUUCUGAUUUGGCUUCUCAUGGACUCUCUCUCUCUCUCUCUCUCUCUCUCUCUCUCUCUCUCUCUUUUCCUUCUCAUACAGUGAGGGGGGAAAGUAUUUGAUCCCCUGCUAAAUUUGCCCAUUUGCCCUCUGACGAAGAAAUGACCAGUCCAUAAUUUUAAUGGUAGGUUUAUUGUAGCUGUGAGAGACAGAAUAACAACAGGAAAACCCCCCAGAAACCCAGAAAAGUCAGAGAUUGAUGUGCAUUAUAAUGAGUUAAAUAAGCGUUUGAUCCCUUUGCAAAAGAUGACUUAGUACUUGGUGGCAAAACCCUUGUUGGCAAUUACAGAGGUCAGACGUUUCUUGUAGGUGGCCACCAGGUUUGCACACAUCUCAGGAGGUAUCUUGUCCCACUCCUCUUUGCAGAUCUUCUCCAAGUCAGUAAGAUUUUGAGGCUGAUGUGUAGCUACUCGAACCUUCAGCUCCCUCCACAGAUUUUCAAUGGGAUUAAGGUCUGGAGACUGGCUAGGCCACUCCAGGACCUAGGGUCAUCUAGUCCAACCCCUCGCCAUGCCCCAAUCCAGCCAGUAAAAGUCCCUGGCUGCUUGAGGAUUGGAAGCCAGAUUUCCUACCAACAGACCCAACAGACACUUGAGCCAGUGCUCUGUUAUUUACUGCAAACCACCAAGGUGGUUAGCAUAAAAGAGGACUAAAGAUCUGAAAUAAUAGAACCGGAUCUUUCUCUCUCUCUCUCUUUUUGCCCUAGACAAACACAUUCUUACAUCUGUUCAAAGAGCCAUAUUUACUAUAAUUCUUCUCUAAUGGGAAACCUGCACAAUCAUUAAUGCUAUCAGCGUAUGUCUUGAUUUAAUAUGUCUUAUGAAAAGCAGCUUAGUUAUUGAUAUCCUCUCUCUCUUUUCAUUUUGGCAGAUGAAAGGCGCCUUUUUGUGUUUCGGGAAUAUUUGCUACAUAAAAGUUAAUGUGGAAGAGAUGAUUCAAUAUCCUACAGCAAGCCUCGGAGCAAACAAUACCUAAAUAUUUAAACACGGAGUGGAGAUGAAUGCUACGCCGCACUAAUAUUGUUUUUCUGUAUCCCCCCCCCUCCUCUUUUUGAUGCAGAGUCUUUGUGCCGAUAAAAUGAGCUAUGAAUCCUUUGAUUUAGCCGUUUUACGAAGCAGGCCGUAAAUUUUGAGUUAACUGUUGCAUCCUGAUUGAAAAUCCAUACAAAGUCCAUCCACAGAUUGAAAUGAAUUUGUACAUUUAGGAAGGCAAUAGAGGAACACCCCUCUUCUUAGCCUUCCUAGCAGGAUCAGGUGCUCCAGGACACAGAUAAGAAAAACCAGAGAGAGCCAGUGUGGUGUAGUGGUUAAGAGCGGUAGUCUCGUAAUCUGGGAAACCGGGUUCGCGUCUCCGCUCCUCCACCUGCAGCUGCUGGGUGACCUUGGGCCAGUCACACUUCUCUGAAGUCUCUCAGCCCCACUCACCUCACAGAGUGUUUGUUGUGGGGGAGGAAGGGAAAGGAGAAUGUGAGCCGCUUGGAGACUCCUGAAGGGGAGUGAUAAAGCGGGAUAUCAAAUCCAAACUCUUCUUCUGGAUCAAGCCAAAGGGUCCUCAUCCAAUUAGGGGCUUUGUAGACCACAAGCUUAGCGUGAGCCAACCAUGUGAUGCAGCAGCAAAAACUUCUAAUGCAAUUCUAGGCUGCAUCAAGCCUCCAGACCAAGGGAAGGGAUAGUCCUGCUCUCUUCUGCCUUACCUGGAGUAGGGUUACCAGAUGUCCCCGUUUCCCGGGGACAGUCCCUGGGUUUGCAAAUAAGUCCGCGGACAAAUUCCAGCCCUGGAAUGUCCCCGGAUUUCAUCUAACAUCCCCGGGAAAUGCAGCAGCGGCAGUCUCAGCAGCCCAGAGCAGUUGGCUCUGGCUGGCUUCAGGAGCUGCUGGGAAGUCCCCAUCUGAUGGUGGUGCAGGGGCUCCAAGAUGCAGCUUCUGGGCUGCCUCCACCUUCCCUGACCCCAGCAACUCAGCUGUGAAGGGAGGCUUCAUGCUGCCUAUCGGAGCAGCCUCACAACUCCUACUUGCGUGCAAGCAGGAGAGGGGGGGGGAUCUCUCAGUUUGGCAACAGGGAAGCCUCCCUUCCCAGCUGAGGGAUCCCUGCCCCCUCCUGCUUGCACGCAAGUAGGAAUGGGAUUGGGGCUGCUCCGAUGGGAAGGGAGGCAUUGCGCUGCCCGAGCCUCGCCACCACCGCUGCUCUCGGCCCUCUUUCUCCAACUUCCAUGCCUGACCCACCGCGCACCAGCUCUCCCCCCCCCCAAGAACCAACAACGCAGGGGCUGCCCAGGCUCAUGGAGAAAGGAGAUAGAAGCCUCAGAGGAAGGGGAAACAUGGUGGUUGAGGUCAAGGCGGCCGCAGCCCCUCUGCCACCGCCAUCGCUGCAGCAUCAGCGUCCUGAACAUGUAGUAUUUAUGUAUGUAUUUUUUUAUUUAAAGUGUCCCCAGAUUCAUUGAAAAAAAUCUGGUAACCUUAACCUGGAGUCCUGUGUCCAGUUCUGGGUGCCACCAAUUAAGAAGAAUGUUGACAAACUGGGAAAGUGUGCAGAGGAGGAAGAACAAGAUGAUAAAAGGGUCUGGAAAGCAAGUCUUAUGAGGAAUAAGACAGAAUUGAAGGUCUGCCAUAUGGAAGAGGGAGCAAGCUUGUUUUCUGCUGCUCCAGAGGAUAGGAUCCGAACCUAUGGAUGCAAAUUACAAGAAAGUAGGUUCCUCCUAAACAUUAGGAAGAACUUUCUAAGAGCUUCUGACAGAGGAAUGGUCUCCCUUGGGAGGUGGUGGACUCUCCUUCCUUGGAGGUUUUUAAGCAGAGGUUGGAUGGCCAUCUGUCUGGGAUUAUUUAGCUGUGAUUCCUGCAUUGCAAGGGUUAGACUAGAAGACCUUUGGGGUCCCCUUCAACUCCACAAUUCUACGAUUCUAUGCUAAUUCAGCAUCCUGUUCUCACAUAGGGUAAUGGCCUCCCAUCUCCAUGGGCUUCCCUGGUGAUUUCAAAGAGGCGGCUUUCAACCAGGGACUAAAGAGGAGAUGUGUGCAGAGCAAACUCUUCCACUGAAUUGGGAAACACAAGCAGACAGGAGUUCCACAAGUACACUGGAGCAGCACAUAGGAAACUUGAGCUUUUUGAAGAUAUUUGCAUAACCACUUAAAAUCUGGAACCGUGUGACCAAUGGCUAAGUGACUUUUCCCUCAGUUUUAAAGUGAGGAUGGAUGGAUGACUCUGUCAAUUUCAGUUUCUCUCAAUUUCUCAUUUUUCUGGUCUGAAGUUAUAUUCUCCACAUGGCACUCUUUUUUUUUUUAAGUUCAUUGAAAGUUCUUUUAAGUUUUUCAAGUUCUAUGAAAACCAUCAGCACUUCAGUGUGAAUUUCUAAUAUGUGUUUGUAUUUGUUGAUUUCCUUGAAUAUCUACAAAACACACUUUCCUAUGAACAACAGGCAGUGCACACCACGCAACAGUUACAGCAGCAGCAACAAAAUACAGUGGGAUCUUGAUUUCGAAUGCUGACAACCCGGAAGUGAAUGCUUCCAUUUUCAAACGUGCCUCGGAAGUUGAAUGGCUUCCGAAGCGUGUUUCUCCAUUUUUCCAAUGGGUUUUGCCAACCGGCAAUUGUGCCUUGGUUGUUGAACAUUUCGGAAGUUGGAUGGUCUUCUGGAAUGGAUUAUGUUCAACAACCAAGGUUCCACUGUAAAGGUAAAGGGACCCCUGACCAUUAGGUCCCGUCGUGACCAACUCUGGGGUUGCGGCGCUCAUCUUGCUUUAUUGGCCGAGGGAGCCGGCGUACGGCUUCCGGGUCAUGUGGCCAGCAGGACUAAGCUGCUUCUGGCGAACCAGAGCAGUGCACGGAAACGCUGUUUACCUUCCUGCCGGAGCGGUACCUAUUUAUCUACUUGCACUUUGACGUGCUUUUGAACUGCUAGGAUGGCAGGAGCAGGGACCGGGCAACAAGAGCUCACCCCGUUGCGGGGAUUUGAACCGCCGACCUUCUAAUUGGCAAGUCCUAGGCUCUGUGGUUUAACCCACAGUGCCACCCGCGUCCCACAAUGGAUUAUGUUCAACAACCGAGGUUCCACUGUACUUGCAUGUAAUUUUGCCUAACAUGCAUAUUCCUUCUCCCCCUCACCCAUGUGCGCUGAAAAAAAUUGGAAAAACACGAAUUUUGAAGGAUGGCUGUGUCUUCAUUCUCACAUUCUCUUGGAAAGUGUGAAUUAAGGAUCAUCACCUUAAUCUGAAUGGAAUCCAUCCCCUAUUGCUCUUUGCAAGUCACCUGACUUUCAGCAUCCUGUUGGGAAGCCAGUGACCUUUCUCUCGCCCCUCUUCCCAUCCGCUUCUGCUUCUCUUUCUUCAGAUGCUAAAAUCCUGGGCAGGGACUGCCAUUACAUUUGUGCGCAGUCCCUACAUUAUUGAUUGGGGCACUUAAGAAGUAUUAAAUAAUUUGCUGCCUACACUCUCCUCAUAAGAUUGUGGGUUUGCAGCAUUCCUACGAAAUUCCUCUGAAACCCAGCCGGAUGGGCGUGGUAUAAAUAAAAAAUUGUUGCUGUUGUGCUGACCAUUAAAGCCCUAAAUGGUCUCAGCCCAGUAUACCUGAAGGAGCGUCUCCACCCCCAUUCUCCUGCCCGGACACAGAGGUCCAGCUCUGAGGGCCUUCUGGUGGUUCCCUCACUGCGAGAAGCCAAGUUACAGGGAACCAGACUGAGAGCCUUCUUCCAGACCCUCCACAUGUCCCUAAUUUCCAGGGACAGUCCUGAAUUUAUAGAAGCAUCCCAGUUUCUGAUUUGAUCCUGGAAUGUCCCGCUUUUCCUUAGGGUGUCCUGUCUGAAAUAUACUCGGAGUCGAGAGUGGAUUUCAUGCUCUUUAUUCAGCUCAUAGUGGUGAGGAGGAAUGAAAGUUCCCCCAAAGUAUCUGCUUUAUAUACAUUAUUUACACAAUGGGCCCCACGUGAUUGGCUAAUUCCGGGAUUCUCCUGUAGGCCAAUCAGGUUGUGGAUUCACUUCCAUCUGGAGCUGGAUUGGGUGGCUCCUGCAGACCAAUCAUACUGCUGCAUUGUUCUAGGACCAAUCAGACUGCUGCAUUCUGAAUGCUAUUGUUUUAGGACCAAUCAGACUGCUGCAUUUUGAAUCCUAUUGUUCUAGGACCAAUCAGACUGCUGCAUUUUGGAUCCUAUUCAAGUCAGUACAUAACACAGUCCAACCCCCUGCAAUGUAGGAAUCUCAACAGAAAGCAUACAUGACCUUAAAAAGCUCGAGGGAAUCUCCUUUCUUGUAACUUGAAUCCAUUGGGAUCAUUAGGGAAGGAAUGGACAGUGACCAGGAAGAUGGAGCCACUCCACUAUGAGGAAAAGCUACAACAUCUGGGACUCCUUUAUUUAGAGAAAAGGCAAGCAAGAGGCAACAUGAUAGAAGGUUAUAGAAUCGUGCAUGGCAUGGGAAAAGUGGAUAGAGAGAAGUUUCCUUCCCACUCUGUCUUAACACUGGAACUUGUGGACAUCCAAUGAAAGUUAUAAAAGAAAGUAUUCUUCACACAGUGCAUAGUUAAGCUAUGGAACUCACUGCCACUGGGAGCAGAGAUGACUCCCCUCUGUCAAGGAUUCUUUAGCGGAGGUUCUAGAACCAACAUCCACGCACGCUGCCCAAAGCUCAGCAGAGGAAGGGUAGGAUGGGAUUAUAUGACUAUAUGUUGUUGUCGUUUAGUCGUGUCCGACUCUUCGUGACCCCCUGGACCAGAGCACGCCAGGCACUCCUGUCUUCCACUGCCUCCCGCAGUUUGGUCAAACUCAUGUUGGUAGCUUCAAGAUCACUGUCCAACCAUCUCGUCCUCUGUCCUCCCCUUCUCCUUGUGCCCUCCAUCUUUCCCAACAUCAGGGUCUUUUCCAGGGAGUCUUCUCUUCUCAUGAGGUGGCCAAAGUACUGGAGCCUCAGCUUCAGGAUCUGUCCUUCCAGUGAGCACUCAGGGCUGAUUUCCUUCAGAAUGGAGAGGUUUGAUCUUCUUGCAGUCCAUGGGACUCUCAAGAGUCUCCUCCAGCACCAGAAUUCAAAAGCAUCAAUUCUUUGGCGAUCAGCCUUCUUUAUGGUCUGGCUCUCACUUCCAUACACCACUACUAUACUAUACUAUACUACACUUCCAUACAUCACUACAUCACUACUAUAUAUGACUAUAUAGUACAUGGGAUUUUUAAAAAAUGAACCCACCACAAAAUCCGGUCUGUGCCAAAGAUAUAUUGGAUCCAUGUUGCAGACCUCAUGUUGCAGACAUCAAAAAAACCACAUACAGCCAAAAGAUGAUGAUGGAAAGAAUAUUCCGGUCUGCAACUUCCCCAUCUCUUAUUUGUUUUAAGUUUUUAACGAGGGUAGGCAAAAGCGAGCUCUUGCAUCACUUGAAGACAAUUUCAAUUAGAGCAAUCUCUAGCCAUCUAAUAUUCUUAUCAUACAAGUCGUACAGCAUAAAUAUUUCAUGCUGUAUUUAGCAUGCUCUUUUUUUAAUAAUGAAGAGAGUUGUGUGCCUACCUAGGAGAGCUUUUUUCUUCUUCUUCUGAGGGUGAAGGCUGCUGACGAUGCAGAGGGGAAGCGGGGGGGGGGGGGAUGGAGGCGGCCCUGGGGAGCCCGUCUUGCUUUAGGGCAAAAUCCAGGAUGCAUAACAAGGAGUGAAGCUGGGAUUCUCCCUGCGGCCCAAGGCAAAGGGGGGAGAGUCUGGAUUUUGCCCUCUGAUUUGGGAACAUCCGCAACAGCAGCCCUGAAAGAAAACCAGAGAAAUCCCUUGGAGGGUCUCGGAGGGACUACAAAGGAACGUUCAGCACUUGAGAGCUUCCCAUGGUGUUCAUAUGCAAGAGGCAGUGUGGUGCAGUGGUUAGAGUGUCAGACUAGGACCUGGGAGAGACCAGGAUUCAAACCCUCAUUCAGCAAUGAAGUUCACUGGAGGAAAACUAUGUCUGUCGCCUUGAAUGCCAGGAGAAGAGGCAGGAAAGAAAUGUAGCAAAAUAAAUAAGUGUCCUUAUGUAGCCCCUUCAAGUCAUUUUACUGUGUCCCCAGGCACAGAACCCUCUGAUUUUUACGCCACUGAAAUGUCACCUGUGUAGAAACUUCUUCUUCUUCUUCUUUGGCGAUCCCUUGUAGCCAAGUAAGAUUGCCUUCCAUAAACACGGUUUUAACAAUAAGUCCGUAAGUGACUGUGGAGGCCAAUUCUGGAUCCACACGUCCUUCUACAGUGGGGACAUUCAUUUCCAUGCGAGAGUUGAUCACGGUGUGGAUUUGCCAGGCGUGCCUUCCUCUUAGCACGUUUCUCCCUUGCGUCCUGAGUUCGAGUGUCUCAAAGCCCAUGACACCUUUGGUAAAGGCUGUUCUCCAACUGGAGCGCUCGCAGGCCAGUGUUUCCCAGUUGUUGGUGUUUAUACUACAUUUUUAAAGAUUUGCCUUGAGAGAGUCUUCAAACCUCUUUUGUUGACCACCAGCGUUACACUUUCCAUUUUUAAGUUCAGAAUAGAGUAGUUGCUUUGGAAGACGAUCAUCAGGCAUCCGCACAACACGACCAGUCCAACGAAGUUGAUGUUGAAGAAUCAUUGCUUCACCACACGUGAUCUUUGCUUCUUCCAGUCCACUGGUAUUAGUUUGCCUGUCUUCCCAAGUGAUGUAGAAACAUGAGAUGCUUCACCCAUCCCCAGGCUUUGCCAAUCCUGGGAACAUGAUCUCUGGAAGGAUGUCCAUAAGGGAAUGUAGCUUAUAAAAAAAAUCAGCUGGUCUCUGCCGGUGCUCCUUAAUUCUGGAGGGAAGGGGAAAUCUGUCGGAACCAGAGCUUGUUAAUUAGGACGACAGCCCAGGAAUGUCGACCGAGUGGCAUCUCUGCGUCCCUCUGUUGCAAUCCGACUGGGGCCUCGAAUCAAAACACGAUUCUCACCCUUUGCCCCCUGCACCAGUUUGUACAAGCUUCCUGGCAGGCAAAUCAUUAAUUAAAAAUAGUUGGGAAAUCACACUCAAAACUAAAUUGGAAUAAUUAAUCCCCCGUGUGCUGAAUUUGAGGCAGGGGAGGCGAGGGGAGGUAUUAAUAAAUAAAUAUUUAAAUUGACAGAAGCUUUGGAUCCAAGGCUUCUAGGAAGGGAACUGCGCUCCAAUUCUUGAUCAUGCAAAAGCUGUACUGAAUGGAGGCUGCAGCGUUCUUUCAGCUUGCGGAAAAAUAAUCACAAAUCCAUGACUCCCAAUUUUAUGCAUUUUUUGUGGUGGUGGUGGGGUAAAAAUGAUUGUUGUUUGGGGAGAAAGUUCCCCUCUUUUUAAAUCAAGCAUUCCAUCUCUUAUUCCAAUGUAACCAAGUUCUGUGCUGCAGAAAAGUAAAACUUUCCAAGAACUGGCCCCAGAUAGUUCACAACCUUCUUCUUGGGAGUUUGUGACAUAACUAGAGCUUUUAUAAUGCUGCUGUUUAUUAUUUUAGGCUACUUUUAUUUAUUUCUGUUUUACAUUGCUAUGCAUAUUUGGGUCAUGUGUUCAUUGAAGGGGGGCUAAUUAGAUGAUUCUUGGGAUCCCUUCCAACUCUACAAUUCUACAAUUCUCUGAUUAUGUGACACUAGGACUUGUGCGCUGUUAGAAUUCCUGUUCCAUGAUUGCAGUCAUGGGAUCAUUGCCUUUCACAUGUCGGUGUAUGUUUUGACUCCACAGAGUGGGAAGUGACGGAGACAGGAUGUUUGCGUUACUGUGUUCCGUGAAGUGGGACUAUUGUCCUUUGUCCUUUCUCUUUGCUGUCUGAUGCUAGAGAGAGAGGGAGCCAUGUUGCAGUGCUCUGUGUGUGUUUAUAUGUAAAAAAAAGUAGAUUAGCCAAAAUGCUGAGUUGCUGAGGUCUGUCCCGCAAGAUGCACAAACUCUGCGGAUCCCUAAGUGUCCCGGUGUCGGUUGGCAUCGGUCCCUGUGAUGUUCAGGCUGAAGAAAGCUUAUGAAGCUCCCGAACGAUUGACCAGGAGGGAGGGAACAUGUCAGUUGGGCAUGUGUCUCUGCCAGGGUCCUACUCGAGUGUAGGCUGAACUCCUGACAACUUGUGGACAUCCAGAGAAGCUGAACGUUGCCAGGUUCAGGACAGAUAAAAGAAAGUGUUUCUUCAUUCAGCGCAGAGCUAAACUGUGGAACUCCCUCGAGCAGGAGACAGGGAUGGCCACCAAACUGGAUGGUUUGAAGAGAGGAUUGGACAAAUUCGUGGGCUAACAAUGGCUCCUAGCUAUGAUGACUAUGCUGUGCCUCCAGGGCUGGAUUUAGGUUUGAUGAGGUCCUCAGCUACUGAUGGUAAUGGGGGCCCUUUAUAUGUCCAGCUGUCCACUGUCAACAACAAAUUGUCGCUGUUUUUUGUGUUGGAUAUAUGCUAUAUGGUCAUUGAUGGACCUAAUAGGUAUCUAAAGCCAUUUGCACAUAACAGUCCAUGCAGAAUGUAGGCACCCUGUAUAUAGGUAAAGGUAAAGGGACCCCUGACCAUUAGGUCCAGUCAUGACCGACUCCGGGGUUGCUGCGCUCAUCUCGCUUUAUUGGCCGAGGGAGCCAGUGUACAGCUUCCGGGUCAUGUGGCCAGCAUGACUAAGCCACUUCUGGCGAACCAGAGCAGCACAUGGAAACGCUGUUUACCUUCCCGCCAGAGCGGUACCUAUUUAUCUACUUGCAUUUUGACGUGCUUUCGAAUUGCUAGGUGGGCAGGAGCAGGGACCGAGCAACGGGAGCUCACCCCGUCGUGGGGAUUCGAACCGCCGACCUUCUGAUCGGCAAGUCCUAGGCUCUGUGGUUUAACCCACAGCGCCACCCGCAUCCCAUCCUAUAUAUAGAAAGGAGCAAACCAGUGAUAUUUUAGGGAGCAGGCUAGCAGGCAGGGCCCAUGAAUUACAUCAUAGGAGCCUACACUGUUGCUGGAUGUAGGUUUUAUUUUAUUUGUUUUUUAUCUUAUAUUUUGGAAAUGUAAAUCCAGGUUUUUUUCCCUUUAAAAUUUUUUGGGGCGCCCAAGAGAGUGGGGCCCUAAGCUACAGCUUGUUGAGCUUAUACGUAAAUCCAGCACUGAGGGCAGCCCUGGACCCUGCGUGCUCCUCAGAGCUGUUGCGUCGCCUGGGGCUGCUAAUAUGAGCUGCACAAGGGAGGAGGCCGGAAGCAGCAGCCAUGGAGAGGCAGCGGGAUUCUCCGUUGCAGCCACUGCCAUCACUCAAGACUGGCUCCUCCUCCUCUCUGAACUCAGCAGCGGUAGCACUGGCAGGGGAAAUGGGAACAUUCCUGGAUCAAAGCAGAAGCUGGGACAGCUUUCAUAAUUCUGGGACUUUUCCCAGAAGAUAGGGGCACUUGGAGGGUAUGAUAUCGGGAAAUUGCUCCAUGCUCAUCGGGCAGCAAAAGUGCUGUUGUUGGACAUUUUCCAUAUCUGCUAUUGAGUCCCUGGAGCACAGAAUCACACAAUAUAUCCAAAACAAUGGGAGAAAUUGGAAGGAUCUCAAAAGAGAAGAUAGAUAGGGAUUGGAAGGUGUUUAAAAGAUACUUGCAAAACCAUAUCGAAAAAUCAGAACUCCUAUUAGAAUAAACAAGUUCCGUUACAAACACUGAAAUACUGAAUAAGAUGGAUAACAAUGUGUAAUAGAAAAAGAAGUAUGAAAUAAGGCUAAAGGUGUGUGAAAGAAAGUAAUAGAAGUGGAAAGAAAUUGCAAUUGAGUAGAUUGGAAGUCUAACACAAAGGUGGGGUGAGGGGUGGUGGAUGGUGAUGGGAAAAGGAAUUAUUUGUGGGAUUGAGUGUAAGUAUGUUUGAACACUUUUAAGGAUUGUAUGAAAUGUAUGUUUGUAUGCUUCUAUAUAUGUAAUAUAGGUGGAUUAAUGAUGAACUAUUUUAACUAUAUAUAUAUAUAUAUAUAUAUAUAUAUAUAUAUACAAUCACACAAAGUGGCAACCAACCUUGCAGGAUUUAACAGGAUUUAUUUGAAAUGCAUAUGCAGGACAAAGGUACAGAGCAAUAAAUUUGCGAUCUGCACCCCUCAGUCAGGGUGCGCCCACUUUUUACACCCCUUAGAAUGCAUAGACACGUGUUCACAUGCAUAAAAUGUGAUUUACACUUGUGUUACCCUCCUCCUUUUCAGUUCGCCUCCUCCUUUUCAGCCUCCCCUUGCCUCCCCUUGUCUGGGGUUACAAUUAUACCCAUUCAACCUUGCUUAUUAUCUUUCUUUUUUUUUAAAUGAUAUUUAUUAAGAAUUUUAGAAUUACAGAAAAAAACAAAAAAACAAAAAGAAAAAGAAAGAAAACAAAAGGAAAACAAACCACAAUCCAACAAUACAAAUUGAUAAGAAUCAAAAUCAAAAAAUAACACAACACAAUCAAAAGACAAAAAUAAGCCACAAACAUUUUAAAAACAAAUCCAAUAUUCUCAAAUCCUUAACUGUCAUUACCUUCUUUCUUUGACCUCCUCACUCCUCCCUUUUUUGUAUCCUAGUUGUUAAUUGUCACAGCAAAUCCUUUCCAUUUUUCAUAAUAUUCUGUCAUUACAUUACCUUAAUCUAUUUUAAUCUUAUCUUACUAUAAAAGACCUUAAAACUUGAAACUUAGAUCUUAUUUAUACCAAUUUCUCAUAACCAUAAUAUUCUUACAUAAUUCUUUAAACAUUUUUACUAGAGCCAAAUAAUUUCGUUCCAACAUUUUUCUAGCAUUCAUCAAUUUUAUAAAACAAUCCUAAUAAUUUUUUUUUUCUUCCAAUCUUCAUCCAGCGUCUCUUCCUCCUGGUCCCGGGUUUUGUCAGUCCUUUCUAUCACAUCAAUCUAGCGCAUUAACCUGGUAAUCUUAUGUCCGAGGCCCUUAAGUCUCUUCCAUGUCCCUUCCGCGGCUCUUCUUCAUAUUUAUACCUGUACUUUACUUUGUCUCCUGCUCCUUUCACUCGUGGGAACUCCAACUUAACAGUGUUUUUGACCCUUCUCGACAAAUCAGCCCCUUUUCCAUAGUCCACAUUGAACUCCAUUUGGUAUUUAAAAACAUGUUUCAAAGUCCCUCCAGAAUUAAGAGCCCCCACAACCCCAAACAUCUCACGGCCCAUUGCCAGACUUGAAAAGUCCAAACAUCCCUGCAUAGGGGGGGUCUAUCCAACCCCCCAUUUCCAAACCAAACCAAACUUUAUCUUUCCAAAUCUGGCUUUUUCCAAGUUCAUUUGUCAGAUCCAAGAACUCAUGUUCCUGCUGGGCCACAGCUCCCUCCAUCUCUGGCGCCCGAGGUUCAGCAACAUCCUCUUCCCUCAUCUGUUCUGUCAGAGCACACUCCUGAUUUGAUUCCUGGGUGGGCUCUAUAUAGUUUCCCACUACCUGUCCAAAAUUUCUGAUCGCAGCAGUCAUCACAUCCGUCUUCUCAUAUAGCUGUUCCAGUAGGGCACUUGUUUUGCAGAAAGCACGCACCAGAGCUUCUGAAUACAUUGUUCUGCAAGGUCAGAAGUCUAUUCCCACGAUCGUAAUCUGUUGCAGCUGCAAGCUCCCCGAUUCAAAAUUGGUAACAGUUUCACAGGCUCCUCUAGGGGAAGAACUUCUAUUUGUUCUUUUCUUUUAAAAGCAGAUCUAACAACAAAGUUUCCUUUUUCAGAUAUUUUGUCAAUAUUUGUUCCUUUAAAAUGCGAAGGGGAACAAUGGAAUCACUAUGUUUCUCUUCUUUUAACUAUCUGUCAAAAACAUUUGUCUCUGGUCAAUGAGCUUCAAAGAACGUCAGUCCUGACACCCCGCUCCAGGAUCAAGACGGUGGAAAAUUACUUUGCUUUACACUCUCUUCUGCAGGUUUAAACAGUCCGAAAAAAAUCCCCCCUCUUCUCCUGCUUCCGAAGGGGGUUCAACAAUUUUUAAUGAUGAAAGUUAAUCCUAUACAAGUGAUUUUCUGAACUCCAGUUUGCCAUGUCUUUGCUUUAAUCUAUCUACAAGAAACGGAAGGCUGACUUCCUGUUUAGACCUUCCCGUUUCAGUGCCAAAUUGAGAUAAAUUUCUUAGUCCAAUUUUCCUUUCUACUCACUGGUCAUUAUUUAAAGUCCAAUUGUCCAAAAUUUAAGUACUCACGGGUAAUUGUUUUAAAAGCCAAAUUGUCCCAGGAAAAAGGCAGCGCUCUCCAGCAACGGCUGUGUGGCUUCGCUCCACGGAAGAAGCAGUUGACUCUCAGCAGCGCGCCACUUCCCCCUCUUCGCUCCGGAGCCCGUAAGUGGGUUCCUUUAUGGGUUGGGGGGGCGCUAAAGGUGCCCGCCGAGUCCCAUGGUCACAGGCUUCAUCCGCCUGUGAUUUUUGAAAGGGUCCCCGCUUCACCGUAGCGGGAAAGACCCGUUUUCCGUGGAGCUGGUCCCUCCGGAUCAGAAGGAAUCCGCCAUUACCGAUGGCGCCACCCCGGAAGUGCAACCCUGCUUAUUAUCGCUACGCGCAUAAGCCAGACAUUCCAGAGAGGGAGGCCCAUUUUCACUGUAACAUCUAAAAAAAAGCCUGGUGUAAAAACCUCCCUUCCCCCUUUAAGGAAGGGAUUUGGGCAUAACAUAUGAGAGAGGAGAAAAUGCCUCAAACAGUUUUUGGGAUCAUAUAGACAACAAGAGAAGACUCCCUGGAAAAGACCCUGAUGUUGGGAAAGAUGGAGGGCACAAGGAGACGGGGACGACAGAGGACAAGAUGGUGGGACAGUGUUCUCGAAGCUACCAGCAUGAGUUUGACCAAACUGCGGGAGGCAGUGGAAGACAGGAGGGCCUGGCGUGCUCUGGCCCAUGGGGUCAGGAAGAGGCGGACAUGACUAAACGACUAAACAACAACAAGACAACAAUAUUCUAAUGGCCCUUCACUGUCUCCCUCUCUCUGCAACACCCCUGCCUCUCUAGUCCUAAUAGGCAGAGUUUGCAGCUUGCAGCUUGUGCAUAACUUGCAGGUCACCUGGGAUGCCAUUCCCCAAAACAUGCUAACUGGAUUUUGUUCUGCGCAGACCACAUGAGUGAGACCUCCAAACGAUUCGCAGCUAUGCAGAAAAGUUUCCUCUGGGCCCAACAAAGUGGUGUGUUUUUUCUCGGUCUCCUUCUCCCUUGAGUGUCAACAGGAUUCUAAUUUGCCUUGUGAUGAUGAGGAACCUUUGAAGGCAGCAAAGCUGACGAAGAAGGUCAAAAGGCAAUUAAAAACAUGGAGAGAGACUCCUUUCUCUCUUCUGGGGGAAGAAAAACUCGCUAAUUAGCCCAAACCGGAAUGAAACAGCAAGCCCUUUCAUUUGGAAACUGUACUGCGCCUUCUAUCAAACAAAUUGAUUAGCUGAGGAAUCAGAAUCCGAAUGCUUGGAUAAGGCGUUAAUUGGCGGAAUCAAUUAAUUGCAGGAUUUUGCUACCCCCCUCCCCCCUCCCGUCAUCUCCUAAAUGGGGGUAAUGUAUGGCUGUAUGGGCUUGGAGAUAAGAGAUGCAGGAUUAGGGCUUUUGAGCAAUCCCAGGUGGCCAAAGUCUUUUCAUGGGAAGUUUGUUUCUUGGGUUGUGGUGGUGUAAUUCUUCCCAUAUUGCCCCCCCCCCUUAUGCUGUCAGAAUUUAUUUACAAUAGGGAGCACAUUAUUCUGGUAUACAUUUAUUAAAAGCCUUGUGCUUGGUUGCUUGACUCAAGGGAACACGCACUAGUAAUAACUUCUUCCCUCUAGGGCAAGGAAACGUUUUGCAGGGGGGUGCAAUUAUAAGCGACAAUGAAAAAGCAAGGGGGGGACACACACAUUCCAGAGGUGCCCCACAGCUAUUUUCUUAUUGCUGAGUAGGCGGCUGGACCACAGAGCGAUGAUGGUGCAAAGAUCCGAAGUGAUGGGCUUCCUGCAGGUGGUCUCUUGACCAUUACGCAGGGCAGUGAUUUUGCAUCUCUAUGUGGGACAAGAAGCUACAGUUAGAACUGGAUAUGGAACAAUCGAUUGGUUCAAAACUGGGAAUGGAAUACGACAAGGCUGUAUAUUGUCUCCCUGUUUAUUUAACUUAUAUGUAGAAUUCAUCAUGCGAAAGGCUGGGCUGGAUGAAUCCCAAGCCAGAAUUAAGAUUGCUGGAAGAAACGUCAACAACCUCAGAUAUGCAGAUGACACAACCUUGAUGGCAGAAAGUGAGGAGGAAUUAAAGAACCUUUUAAUGAGGGUGAAAGAGGAGAGCGCAAAAUAUGGUCUGAAGCUCAACAUCAAAAAAAUGAAGAUCAUGGCCACUGGUCCCAUCACCUCCUGGCAAAUAGAAGGGGAAGAAAUGGAGGCAGUGAGAGACUUUACUUUCUUGGGCUCCAUGAUCACUGCAGAUGGUGACAGCAGUCACGAAAUUAAAAGAUGCCUGCUCCUUGGGAGAAAAGCAAUGACAAACCUAGACAGCAUCUUAAGAAGCAGAGACAUCACCUUGCUGACAAAGGCCUCCCGCAGUUUGGUCAAACUCAUGCUGGUAGCUUCGAGAACACUGGCCAACCAUCUUGUCGUUUGUUGUCCCCUUCUCCUUGGGCCCUCCAUCUUUCCCAACAUCAGGGUCUUUUCCAUGGAGUCUUCUCUUCUCAUGAGGUGGCCAAAGUAUUGGAGCCUCAGCUUCAG